GACGAACGCUGGCGGCGUGCUUAACACAUGCAAGUCGAACGGAAAGGCCCUGCUUUUGUGGGGUGCUCGAGUGGCGAACGGGUGAGUAACACGUGAGUAACCUGCCCUUGACUUUGGGAUAACUUCAGGAAACUGGGGCUAAUACCGGAUAGGAGCUCCUGCUGCAUGGUGGGGGUUGGAAAGUUUCGGCGGUUGGGGAUGGACUCGCGGCUUAUCAGCUUGUUGGUGGGGUAGUGGCUUACCAAGGCUUUGACGGGUAGCCGGCCUGAGGGGGUGACCGGCCACAUUGGGACUGAGAGACGGCCCAGACUCCUACGGGAGGCAGCAGUGGGGAAUAUUGCACAAUGGGCGGAAGCCUGAUGCAGCAACGCCGCGUGCGGGAUGACGGCCUUCGGGUUGUAAACCGCUUUCGCCUGUGACGAAGCGUGAGUGACGGUAAUGGGUAAAGAAGCACCGGCUAACUACGU
RNAcentral lists this ribosomal RNA (467 nucleotides) under uncultured bacterium. RNAcentral's name for it is "partial 16S ribosomal RNA". It matches the Rfam family "Bacterial small subunit ribosomal RNA", at positions 28 to 506 of the family's 1533-position model. The record is from RNAcentral.